UUAAGCGACUAAGCGUACACGGUGGAUGCCCUGGCAGUCAGAGGCGAUGAAGGACGUGCUAAUCUGCGAAAAGCGUCGGUAAGGUGAUAUGAACCGUUAUAGCCGGCGAUGUCCGAAUGGGGAAACCCAGUGUGAUUCGUCACACUAUCGUUAACUGAAUACAUAGGUUAACGAGGCGAACCGGGGGAACUGAAACAUCUAAGUACCCCGAGGAAAAGAAAUCAACCGAGAUUCCCCCAGUAGCGGCGAGCGAACGGGGAGCAGCCCAGAGUCUGAAUCAGCUUGUGUGUUAGUGGAACGGUCUGGAAAGUCCGACGGUACAGGGUGAUAGUCCCGUACACCAAAAUGCACAGGUUGUGAACUCGAAGAGUAGGGCGGGACACGUGGUAUCCUGUCUGAAUAUGGGGGGACCAUCCUCCAAGGCUAAAUACUCCUGACUGACCGAUAGUGAACCAGUACCGUGAGGGAAAGGCGAAAAGAACCCCGGCGAGGGGAGUGAAAAAGAACCUGAAACCGUGUACGUACAAGCAGUGGGAGCACCUUCGGGUGUGACUGCGUACCUUUUGUAUAAUGGGUCAGCGACUUAUAUUCUGUAGCAAGGUUAACCGUAUAGGGGAGCCGCAGGGAAACCGAGUCUUAACUGGGCGUUAAGUUGCAGGGUAUAGACCCGAAACCCGGUGAUCUAGCCAUGGGCAGGUUGAAGGUUGGGUAACACUAACUGGAGGACCGAACCGACUAAUGUUGAAAAAUUAGCGGAUGACUUGUGGCUGGGGGUGAAAGGCCAAUCAAACCGGGAGAUAGCUGGUUCUCCCCGAAAGCUAUUUAGGUAGCGCCUCGUGAAUUCAUCUUCGGGGGUAGAGCACUGUUUCGGCUAGGGGGUCAUCCCGACUUACCAACCCGAUGCAAACUACGAAUACCGAAGAAUGUUAUCACGGGAGACACACGGCGGGUGCUAACGUCCGUCGUGAAGAGGGAAACAACCCAGACCGCCAGCUAAGGUCCCAAAGUCACAGUUAAGUGGGAAACGAUGUGGGAAGGCACAGACAGCCAGGAUGUUGGCUUAGAAGCAGCCAUCAUUUAAAGAAAGCGUAAUAGCUCACUGGUCGAGUCGGCCUGCGCGGAAGAUGUAACGGGGCUAAACUGUGCACCGAAGCUGCGGCAGCGACACUAUGUGUUGUUGGGUAGGGGAGCGUUCUGUAAGCCUGCGAAGGUGGCCUGUGAGGGUUGCUGGAGGUAUCAGAAGUGCGAAUGCUGACAUAAGUAACGAUAAUGCGGGUGAAAAGCCCGCACGCCGGAAGACCAAGGGUUCCUGUCCAACGUUAAUCGGGGCAGGGUGAGUCGACCCCUAAGGCGAGGCCGAAAGGCGUAGUCGAUGGGAAACAGGUUAAUAUUCCUGUACUUGGUGUUACUGCGAAGGGGGGACGGAGAAGGCUAUGUUAGCCGGGCGACGGUUGUCCCGGUUUAAGCAUGUAGGCGGAGGUUCCAGGUAAAUCCGGUACCUUUUUAACGCUGAGGUGUGAUGACGAGGCACUACGGUGCUGAAGUAACAAAUGCCCUGCUUCCAGGAAAAGCCUCUAAGCAUCAGGUAACAUUAAAUCGUACCCCAAACCGACACAGGUGGUCAGGUAGAGAAUACCAAGGCGCUUGAGAGAACUCGGGUGAAGGAACUAGGCAAAAUGGUGCCGUAACUUCGGGAGAAGGCACGCUGAUAUGUAGGUGAAGCCCCUGCGGGUGGAGCUGAAAUCAGUCGAAGAUACCAGCUGGCUGCAACUGUUUAUUAAAAACACAGCACUGUGCAAACACGAAAGUGGACGUAUACGGUGUGACGCCUGCCCGGUGCCGGAAGGUUAAUUGAUGGGGUUAUCCGUAAGGAGAAGCUCUUGAUCGAAGCCCCGGUAAACGGCGGCCGUAACUAUAACGGUCCUAAGGUAGCGAAAUUCCUUGUCGGGUAAGUUCCGACCUGCACGAAUGGCGUAAUGAUGGCCAGGCUGUCUCCACCCGAGACUCAGUGAAAUUGAACUCGCUGUGAAGAUGCAGUGUACCCGCGGCAAGACGGAAAGACCCCGUGAACCUUUACUAUAGCUUGACACUGAACAUUGAGCCUUGAUGUGUAGGAUAGGUGGGAGGCUUUGAAGCGUGGACGCCAGUCUGCGUGGAGCCAACCUUGAAAUACCACCCUUUAAUGUUUGAUGUUCUAACGUUGGCCCCUGACCGGGGUUGCGGACAGUGUCUGGUGGGUAGUUUGACUGGGGCGGUCUCCUCCCAAAGAGUAACGGAGGAGCACGAAGGUUAGCUAAUCCUGGUCGGACAUCAGGAGGUUAGUGCAAUGGCAUAAGCUAGCUUGACUGCGAGCGUGACGGCGCGAGCAGGUGCGAAAGCAGGUCAUAGUGAUCCGGUGGUUCUGAAUGGAAGGGCCAUCGCUCAACGGAUAAAAGGUACUCCGGGGAUAACAGGCUGAUACCGCCCAAGAGUUCAUAUCGACGGCGGUGUUUGGCACCUCGAUGUCGGCUCAUCACAUCCUGGGGCUGAAGUAGGUCCCAAGGGUAUGGCUGUUCGCCAUUUAAAGUGGUACGCGAGCUGGGUUUAGAACGUCGUGAGACAGUUCGGUCCCUAUCUGCCGUGGGCGCUGGAGAAUUGAGGGGGGCUGCUCCUAGUACGAGAGGACCGGAGUGGACGCAUCACUGGUGUUCGGGUUGUCAUGCCAAUGGCAUUGCCCGGUAGCUAAAUGCGGAAGAGAUAAGUGCUGAAAGCAUCUAAGCACGAAACUUGCCCCGAGAUGAGUUCUCCCUGAGACUUUAAGUCUCCUGAAGGAACGUUAAAGACGAUGACGUUGAUAGGUCGGGUGUGUAAGCGUAGCGAUACGUUGAGCUAACCGAUACUAAUGAACCGUGAGGCUUAACCUU
This 2903-nucleotide ribosomal RNA is filed under the name Klebsiella aerogenes UCI 47. RNAcentral describes it as "bacterial LSU rRNA". It matches the Rfam family "Bacterial large subunit ribosomal RNA". RNAcentral also lists the same sequence under 1 other name. Lineage: Bacteria; Pseudomonadati; Pseudomonadota; Gammaproteobacteria; Enterobacterales; Enterobacteriaceae. The record is from RNAcentral.